Molecule: microRNA precursor, 63 nt
Filed under: Pelobates cultripes (western spadefoot toad)
Lineage: Eukaryota; Metazoa; Chordata; Amphibia; Anura; Pelobatidae
Source: RNAcentral
ACCCUCCCACCUCCUGGACAGCAUCCACAUUGAAUAUGGAUGCUGUCCAGGAGGUGGGAGGGU